Cricetulus griseus (Chinese hamster) is the source of this 1913-nucleotide non-coding RNA. NCBI's taxonomy places the organism in Eukaryota, Metazoa, Chordata, Mammalia, Rodentia, Cricetidae. The record is from RefSeq and is a predicted model, not a curated record.
CUGUGUGUCUGUGUGUGUGUGUGUGUGUGUGUGUCCUUUGUCUUCACCUUAUGUAGUAGAAGCAGGGCAUGUAGGCUGCUUGGUGGAAAAGUAGGGACAGUACAACCAGUUGAGAGAAAGAGUCUAGAUGCUAGGCCUCUGAGGAAGCCCAUCUGGGCUUUGCCUCUGCCUCUGGGCAGGGCCGUCCUUGCCUGCUGCUGACUGACCCACAAUGUAAGGUCAUUGCCCUCGCCUGGUGCGGAGGAGCUCUGCGCGUAAGUGUGGUUACUGCAGCUUACAUUACUGUGGUUAGUGAUGGUCUCUGCUCCUGGGUUUCUGGCCAAAGAGGAAGAGCUCAGGAGUUGUGAGUCACAGCUAGCAGUAUACAGUGGAGUGUUCUGGGGACACUCCUGAGACCCAGACAUAACCUCUGCCCUCUGGAGUUCUGGUCAGAUGCAGACAAUGAACAGAAAGCACUGCUUGAGGCUGGAGGCCAUCCCCUCAUCCAGGAAGACCAUCUUGGUUAACUGUGAUGAAAUUUCUCUGGGAUUGAUCUGUAGUUCUGGCAAGAUUGGAUUCUUUAUCUGUCCCAUCUGGCCAGGUCUGAGCAUGGAGGACCUGCAAAUUCUGUACUGGGGACAUGGCAGAAUGCUGUCCUCCCACAGAGUCCUUUACUCAUUCAGUAACGGUGCCAGGUGCUCAGGAAGACUGACACCAAGUAAUUACACAAAUAAAAAUAUACAAAUCGGAAUGUGCUGGGAAGGAGAACCCCAGGGGAUUCGGGAGGGCUCACCAGGGACUUAGUUUACCUGGAGUUGUGCCUGCUGUUGAAGCUAACCUCCUGCCUAGUUGCGUGUGCUCGAGAGUACGUGUGCUCUAACACACACACACACACACACACACACACACACACACACACAGAGUUAAGAAAAGUUAAACCUUUAAGUGAUGGCAUCUUUUGGUCCAUUCUGAAGCUUCCUACUUGCCUGGACCAUAAAUUGAAUCUGCAUGGCCAAGGCCCUGCCCUAGGCCUGGCACAGGGGAGGUACCUCAGAUUUCGAAAUAUUCAAAAUGCCAUCAGGACACCGCCCACCCCCAAAUUAAUCUUACAGUGAUGGAGUUGAAGCAUGGGGGCUUAUGGGUGGUCCAGGAAGCCUCCAGGGAUGAAUAGGGAUUGGUCUGGAAGUGUUGAAACUGAGAUGGGCCAAUGAGGAGGCUGGAGAUAAGGAGGGCAGGACAGAUUUGGGGUAGCAAGAAGUCCUGUGCUCUGCUCUGAGGCCUGCCUUCAGGAGGCAGGACUGUUGGGACUUGGACUGGGAUACAAGGGCCUGGGCUGGGGACUGACAGAGAUGAACAAGUGGACGUGGCACAGUUUUUGGUGGCCUUUGAGGACAUGCACAUGGCCUCCAUGGGUAGUUGACCAGAGUUCUCCCCGGGAAGAAUAAGAUUCCUUUCGACUCUGCUGAGGAAGGAAGCCUCAUAGGAGAGAUGGUGCCAUAGUGAGGUCUUGAAGGAUGAUGGUAAACUCAAUAGGUAGUGAUGGGAGAAGGCCUGGAGGUAAGAAGGCAAAAACCAUGUUGGGUGAACUCUGCAAGGAGCAGAAGACUUAUGUGCAUGGGAAAUAAAGUUGGAAAAUGGGUUCAAGUUGAAUGAGCACAGAUGAACACUGAAAUACAACUCUUUCCUAUGGGUAAUGGGGAGCCACCGAUGGUUGUUGAGCAAGAGUAUCCUGCAGGGAGAGGAAACUGAUGCGUUACUUUAGUUUCUCUCCAUAACAGCAUCAGUGGCAGGCAGGCCGGGAACCUUCCAUGGUCUAGGUUAUAAAAUCCACUGAGUGAGGGAGCUAGGAGAAUGAGAAGGGGAGAAGAGGAGGGGUGAGGAGGAAAUGAGGGAGCAGGAAGGUUGAGUUGGGGGAAGAAUAGAGGAGAGCAAGA